GGUCACGCCUCGUCUCUACUGCGGCCCCCUGAAGACCUUGAGGAGGAGGACCUGGCACCUGAGGAGAAGGCUGUGUGUGACCAGGGAGGAGCUUCGGGGUGGACGGACUGCGCCACUUCCCGGGGCUAAUGCUCCUCAGCCUGAGGUUGCGGACUGGCCCUCAAGGUCUACACAUUUGAUGAUGAGCAUAUCUUCUGGAAGAACAUGGUGUUCUUCCACACAGGGCUCAUAAGCACCCAGCCCAAUGAGAAUCCUGCAAGAGUCAGAAGAGCCAUUGGAGCUGUGGACUGACUAGUGCCUCACACCACCCUGGAUUUACAUGCAAGCUCUGCCUACCCUUGGAAGUUGGAGAAGUUUGACCUGCAGGGACAUCGUUCAAGAAAAAAGCUGGAGUCCAGCAAGUAUAUUGCUUUUACUGCAGACUUAAUGCAACUUAAUAAAUUCAUUUUCAAGCCACUUUGGAGGACAGGGAUAAAUGUGCAUAUUUCCUACUUUGUCUGUCUAACCACACACAUACCUAUAUGCAUGCUUGUGUGUGCAUUUUUGUAUGUGAUUCCAUAAUCUUUUUUCUCAACUAUCUUAUUCAAGAAUAUAAGAUCCCUCACUUCAUACAUCUUGUUAAAUGAUAUUUCAAGUAAUAUUAGAGGAGUGUGCGGUGCAAGGUGCUUGUUAAUAAAUUGUUUUGUUUCUGCCCCAUGUACUCUUUCCUAUUUACCUUAAUGUCAAUUUCAAUAUUCCCUAUUGAGAAUGAAAUUGAUGUAAAUUAUAAGUUUCAUGAUUUAAUUUUUAUAACCUAAUUGCUGAAUUGGAAGGCACUUGGCAUUUAUAAUGGGCCAAUUUUAAAAAUAACUAAAGCAUACUUUUUGUGUCAUAUCAAUUAUUCUUAGUAAAAAUGUAUAUACUUACAGUACUUAACCCUUCCUUUGCAAAGAACAUAUUGUUGUUCUGGAAGAUAACUCAGAAUGAGUGAGAGGAGGCACACACUCUUGUGCAAGAUAAUUUUUGGAAAACGUGCAGGUUCAGUGCCUGUGGGAAGCCAGAAAUCACAAUCACUACAUAGCAAGGAGGGUGAUUGGCUGGUCUUGAGGAGUUACUAAGCAGAUAAAGGCAAUGUUUCUCAGGACAGCCUUGGGCCAGUAACAACAAGAUUGGAUACUGUGAUUAGGCAAUUUGUUCAGCUGAUAGAAAAGGUACAGUGUUAUCUGUGGUUAAUCUAUGGGCCCGGGCAUUUGGGACAGUGAAAGAUCAUGGAGGGCACAGAACAUGUAUACUAAAUGGCUUCCAAUUAUGUGCAGAGAAAAUACAAGUUGAUGUCUCUAAAAGAAGGCUCAAUGAGAGGGUAAAUGUUCUUACAAAGAAUCACAUAGUUGUUUAAAAAGAAAACUGGGAUGGAAAAAGAAGACAGAACUAAAUGCAAUGUCAAGAGUAAAGGGAGAAAAUUGUCUCUAUCCUCAAAAAUUUAUGCUAAUAAAUGAUACACACAAGUACACAUAGAAGUAUCUUAGUCUGUUUGUGCUGCCAUAACAAAAAUAUCAUAGACUUAGUGACUUCAACUACAGAAAUUUAUUUUGUGUGUAUGUUGGGGUAGGGAGAUUUUAA
Long non-coding RNA from Canis lupus familiaris (dog), 1599 nucleotides. RefSeq lists it as uncharacterized. The transcript has 3 exons. NCBI's taxonomy places the organism in Eukaryota, Metazoa, Chordata, Mammalia, Carnivora, Canidae. The record is from RefSeq and is a predicted model, not a curated record.